RNAcentral lists this ribosomal RNA (505 nucleotides) under uncultured bacterium. Its description in RNAcentral is "partial 16S ribosomal RNA". It matches the Rfam family "Bacterial small subunit ribosomal RNA", at positions 28 to 507 of the family's 1533-position model. The record is from RNAcentral.
GACGAACGCUGGCGGCGUGCCUAAUACAUGCAAGUAGAACGCACAGUUUAUACCGUAGCUUGCUACACCAUAGACUGUGAGUUGCGAACGGGUGAGUAACGCGUAGGUAACCUGCCUGGUAGCGGGGGAUAACUAUUGGAAACGAUAGCUAAUACCGCAUAAUAUUGAUUAUUGCAUGAUAAUUGAUUGAAAGAUGCUAUUGCAUCACUACCAGAUGGACCUGCGUUGUAUUAGCUAGUAGGUGAGGUAACGGCUCACCUAGGCGACGAUACAUAGCCGACCUGAGAGGGUGAUCGGCCACACUGGGACUGAGACACGGCCCAGACUCCUACGGGAGGCGGCAGUAGGGAAUCUUCGGCAAUGGACGAAAGUCUGACCGAGCAACGCCGCGUGAGUGAAGAAGGUUUUCGGAUCGUAAAGCUCUGUUGUAAGAGAAGAACGGGUGUGAGAGUGGAAAGUUCACACUGUGACGGUAUCUUACCAGAAAGGGACGGCUAACUACGUG